Molecule: ribosomal RNA, 329 nt
Filed under: uncultured Butyrivibrio sp.
Lineage: Bacteria; Bacillati; Bacillota; Clostridia; Lachnospirales; Lachnospiraceae
Description: bacterial SSU rRNA
Rfam family: Bacterial small subunit ribosomal RNA
Source: RNAcentral
GAUGAACGCUGGCGGCGUGCCUAACACAUGCAAGUCGAGCGGAGUGCAGUGUCUAAGAGACUUCGGUCAAAUUAAUCUGUACUUAGCGGCGGAUGGGUGAGGAACGCGUGGAGAACCUGCCCUUCACAGGGGGAUAACAGCUGGAAACGGCUGUUAAUACCGCAUAUGCUCACAGCACCGCAUGGUGCAGGGAGGAAAGCCGAGACGGUGAAGGAUGGCUCCGCGUCGGAUUAGCCAGUUGGCGGGGUAACGGCCCACCAAAGCGAUGAUCCGUAGCCGGCCUGAGAGGGCGACCGGCCACAUUGGGACUGAGACACGGCCCAAACUCC